This 256-nucleotide ribosomal RNA is filed under the name uncultured bacterium. Its description in RNAcentral is "partial 16S ribosomal RNA". It matches the Rfam family "Bacterial small subunit ribosomal RNA", at positions 521 to 776 of the family's 1533-position model. The record is from RNAcentral.
UAAUACGUAGGGAGCCAGCGUUGUCCGGAUUUACUGGGCGUAAAGAGCGCGUAGGCGGUUUAGUAAGCGGAGGGUGAAAUCCCGGGGCUCAACUCCGGGGCUGCUCUCCGAACUGCUUGACUAGAGUACGGGAGAGGAUAGUGGAAUUCCUGGUGUAGCGGUGGAAUGCGUAAAUAUCAGGAGGAACACCCGUGGCGAAGGCUGCUAUCUGGAACGUAACUGACGCUGAGGCGCGAAAGCUAGGGGAGCGAACGGG